UACGUAGGGAGCAAGCGUUGUCCGGAAUCAUUGGGCGUAAAGCGCGCGUAGGCGGCCCUGUAAGUCCGUUGUGAAAGUCAAAGGCUCAACCUUUGAAAGCCGAUGGAUACUGCAGGGCUAGAGUCCGGAAGAGGCGAGUGGAAUUCCUGGUGUAGCGGUGGAAUGCGCAGAUAUCAGGAGGAACACCGAUGGCGAAGGCAGGUCACUGGGCCGCAAAUGACGCUGAGGAGCGAAAGCAUGGGGAGCGAACAGG
RNAcentral lists this ribosomal RNA (253 nucleotides) under uncultured bacterium. RNAcentral's name for it is "partial 16S ribosomal RNA". It matches the Rfam family "Bacterial small subunit ribosomal RNA", at positions 524 to 776 of the family's 1533-position model. The record is from RNAcentral.